GGAAUUCCCCAGCAGCCUAGACCUAUUGCAGCAUAACUAAGGGAGGAUUCGGGGUCCUAACUAUAUCCUUUAUUAAAAAGAAUGGUUUUAAGCCUAAUCUCAAAAAUAAAGAGGAUGUCUGUCUCGUGAAUCCAAACUGGAAGCUGGAUCCACAGGAGAGGUGCCUUGAAGCUGAAAGCUCUGCCUCCCAUUCUGCACUUAAAUACUCUAGGAACCACAAGUAAGCUAGAGUAAGCCCACAAGUAAGCUUACAGUUUCAGGGUGAAGUGCUCUAAUGGGGAGAUACGGUACUAUACGAUUGUUAAAACAAGAUGGUGCCUAUUCAAGACCUAGAAGUAAUACACGCAUGAACUAGUUUGUCAGCAUCACACUGAGACAGGAUUUUUCUAAUUUUUGAAAUAUUGCACAAAUGAAAGAAAGCAGUUCUACAUAUACUAAACUACACGUAUAACUCCAGGUUUUCUCACAGUAUUACUAGAGGCCAAGGUAAUGCAAUCCAGAAUAAGAAUCUGGUUAGAUACCAUGUUUCUAAGAAUAAAAUCUAAUAGAUAAAGUUGGGUGUCAUCUGCAGCAUCUGCGGCACUAAGAUCUAGUAAGGCAGAUACGUUUUCAUUUAUUAUGUAAGUGCUAAAUUACACACGAGUUUGUUCACAGGUGUGUAAAAUACCAAACACUUCUUUAGCCAUUGUCAAGAUGAAAGCCAACGUGAUCUACAGUCACUGCAGCACAGUAGAUGAGAGUGCGGCUGUGAAAAAACGUUUGCACAUUAUUUGGGUGACCUGUAAAGGAUGCAGCUUAGCCCGAGGAAGUAAACUGUGAAGAGUGACACAGAAAAGCAAAAAGUUUCCAUAAGGCAUCUGCUCACAUCAGAAAAACAUAUUUUUAAAAGAUGGCAGCUUCACCUCGUUUCAUCUGCGCCGGCUUUACCUGUAAAACUGGAAAGUUGGACAUGUUUGACUUUAUAACUGCUGCACUUUUAUACUGGUCCAGUUUAGGUUAAGACAUUAUACCUGAUCGUUAAAUCAUUCAUUAACUAGAGGCAAGGGUCAACUUUACUGCUGUUGGGUUAGACGUCACCCAUCUUCAAACUCCUGCCCUCAGUUUGAUUUCAACUAUUACACAAGCUUCAUCACUUCAUUUCACACAUUAGUGACUCUGUUGCACUGACAGCAUCUUUCCACAGACAUAUAAACGCCCGCCAAAGUAAUCAAACCAUUGCUGGUACAUUAUAUUUUCCCAUGAACGCAUUUUGCCAUGAUGACAGAGACAGACUCACAUGGUGAAAAUAGCAGUUGUGACAGAUUUGGUGAGGUUAAGCUGAUAUUUUGUGACAUUAAAUUUGGUGAUAUGUUAAUUUUUUUCUGUGCAGGCAGACUGCUGCUGGUAAGUCACAGAUAUAGAAAUUUGAUAAGAUUAAAUAUAAAGAAAGAAGACUCAUGUUGAGGUUAGGUGAAGUGUAACUGAGAAAGACUGGGUCUGAGACAUCAUCUAGGUUUGCUGUGCGUUGCUUUUAGAGCUGGUUGUGCAGCUCUUUGGCUUUGCAAUCAUCAAAUCCACUUUCUCAGAUCCCAGAGAGUUAUAACUGGACAAAGUUUUGUCGUCCUUGCUGGCAUCUUUUCGUUGUCGUCAUUAUCAGCAGAGUUGGUUGUGCAGUGUGUUUGGUUGGGGUGAAGGAAGAUGAUGUGGAAAUGUGUGAAUCCCAAGUAGAGUGAGUCUGGGAAGAGGAACUGGAAGCGUGACCUGUGAGCAGGUUGUUAACCAUCGUGCUGAGUGUCAGGUGCUUUCUCUUAUGUCUGACCAGUGGCUCUUCACACUUUUUAAUAUUCUUUUUAAUGUUAAAGCCCAUCAGUAGUCAUUCCCACCUGUCUUAUUGAUUUAAAACUGUAUUUUAGUUACUGCAUUAGAAUUACCUGAGCAGGGAUGUUCCAAAGCUUCUUUAGCCUUCUACCAGGAGGUCCAGGAUUGAUGUUGGUAGGGCUGAAUCCAUAAAUUUUGCCCAUUUUGCUCAUCCAGAUUAAUCCAGCCAGAUUAUCCCAGUAAUUACCAUGGAUGAUUCAUGCUUUUAAAUCUGUACAUUUUGGGAGAGUUCUGAUAAACUUACUCAUUUGUAAGAGUCACUGGCAGCACCAAGGUCUGGCUCUUUUUCUGAGUAGGAAGUAGGAAACUUGCUACCAAGUUUAGGAUGGUUUGUGUGCUCUUUGUCCUUUUAAUCCUCCUAGUGUUACAUUUGCCAUAAAAAAGGUCCUUAAAUGUGUGGUGGUUUGAGACAACGAGCGUGAAAUUAUUAUUUUCAAAGUUUUAAAUGCCCAAGAAAACAUUAGAUCUUUUAGAUUAAUACGAUGCUGCUAUAAUGACAUUAGUGGGAUCUAUAGGUGAGCUUUAAUACAAUAGGCCUGCCUUUAAUGCUUGCUUGUUUAUGUUGCGUUAUUUAGGAGAAAAUAUGUCAGGAGAUCAGCAGUGUGCAUACAGAGUGCAGCAGAAGAAAUGUGUGUUGUUGUAACUUAAGACUUUUACGGAACAUUUCCAAUUAUAAAUUGUAUGGAAAAAGACUUUGAAUUGGCACAAAUCUUAAGAAUUCUCUUUUUAAAUUAUGUAUAUCACUGGUUUAUCAUUCAAGCCCUUACUUAUUGUUGUGAUCGCCUUUCCAGUGUCCACAUUCCAGCGCUACAUCACAUAGAAUAAAUGAGGCUCAGUUUUGAGUAUUGAUUUUUACCCCAGCCCACAGCACUGCUCCUUCUGUAAAUUAGCAAAAAAAAAAAAAAGUUUUUCAUGGCCAGUUUAUGAUUUGCGGCUCCAUUAAACCCUUGAGAUUUUAAAAUGU
Molecule: long non-coding RNA, 2821 nt
Organism: Haplochromis burtoni (Burton's mouthbrooder)
Lineage: Eukaryota; Metazoa; Chordata; Actinopteri; Cichliformes; Cichlidae
Exons: 2
Source: RefSeq, a predicted model, not a curated record